UUUUAGGCUCUUGGAGCUUGGAAUGUCCUCCCACAUCCCCAGCAUUUACUUUAUUUUGGUGAUUGCAUGUGCAUGUACUUGUAUUUUUGUUCUUGAUCUUUCUGCUGUUAUUGAUAAUGAUAUGGUGUCUUGCUGUGCAGUACUCUUUGUAGUUGACUAGGUGUAAGACUUCUAGUACAUCUUUCUUGUAGGGUUUGUAACAUGAUUUGAACUUUUCUUCAGG
RNAcentral lists this unclassified non-coding RNA (223 nucleotides) under Hevea brasiliensis (rubber tree). The record is from RNAcentral. Lineage: Eukaryota; Viridiplantae; Streptophyta; Magnoliopsida; Malpighiales; Euphorbiaceae.